This 185-nucleotide non-coding RNA is filed under the name Thermobacillus sp. ZCTH02-B1. RNAcentral's name for it is "6S RNA". It matches the Rfam family "6S / SsrS RNA". From Rfam's summary of the family: E. coli 6S RNA was the first non coding RNA to be sequenced, but its function was unknown until recently. It consists of 184 nucleotides that fold into an extended hairpin structure with a large single-stranded internal bulge. The record is from RNAcentral. Lineage: Bacteria; Bacillati; Bacillota; Bacilli; Caryophanales; Paenibacillaceae.
UACAUCCUGCGGUGUGCGUUACGGCCUUCGUCGUUGUUUCGAACCAACACCCACAACAAGGGAGACCUACAUCGGAGCGCGGCUGAAAUGCCCCCGAAAGGGGAUUUCAAAAACGUUCCUGCGGUCACCCACCUGCCGAGAGCGGGUUCGGAAACAUCGGGCCGGACGGCAUUUGCGGGGGAUUC